Molecule: long non-coding RNA, 842 nt
Filed under: Chinchilla lanigera (long-tailed chinchilla)
Lineage: Eukaryota; Metazoa; Chordata; Mammalia; Rodentia; Chinchillidae
Description: lncRNA (ENSCLAG00000028230.1)
Source: RNAcentral
UGGCUAUGCCCGUUUCACCAAAUGUUUAAAAGGCAAACAUUUGAAGUGUACCAGUUUUUGGUGUGAGGACAAACUCCUUGGGCCACCUGACUCUGCCCUUGAGACAGUGGCCCCAAGGGGCCGCAGUGUGACCAGGCCUGGGCGAUACUGCCAUGUUCAGUAUACUCCACUCAAUUAUUUAAGGCACAAGGCACUGUUUCCUUCGAGGAGCAAAGCUUUCAGAACAUUCAAAAUUCAUUGGAGAAGCCCACUGCAUAUCACAGCCCACGUCAGGCCUCAUUCCCUGAUACCAGGACUGAUCACUACGCUUCAUCUGAUCCCUAUGACAACCCCAAGAUGUUGGUACUGCUAUUAUUCCCAUGUCACAGGUGAGGAACUGAAGCUCAAAGGUCAGUGUCCUUCAGUGUGAGACCAAGCCAAGAUGGAGUCCAAGGUCCUAGCUCUGGCCCUCCAGACUUCACUGCUUUCCAGGGAAGCACUCUCCACUCUAGUGCCCUGCUUCCUCAUUGUUUGCCUGGGCAAAUGUUAUUGAUCUUCCAAGACUCAGCUUGAAGGUCGCCUUCUUCAGAAAGCCUUCCCUAACACCUUGCAGGGUUAAGCAUUUCAUCCUUGUUCGAAUUUCAACAACGAAUUCAUUGCCCUAAUUACCUGCUUCCCAACCAUCUCCCUCAGGAAGGCAGGGAACCCCGUUCUAGGAACCCAUAUAUUCUUAGUGCCAGACAAAGACACCUUCCUUGGCAUUCAACAUCCAGGUGAUGGUCCUCAGUCAAAAGGGCAAGAAAGGAGGACAAGCUGACGUGCAGACAGAGUGAUCAGAAGGGAAUUCAGAUCCAUCUGAGUAA